This 72-nucleotide transfer RNA is filed under the name Vanellus cinereus (grey-headed lapwing). Its description in RNAcentral is "tRNA-Val". Lineage: Eukaryota; Metazoa; Chordata; Aves; Charadriiformes; Charadriidae. The record is from RNAcentral.
CAAGACGUAGCUAUAACAGAAAGCAUUCAGCUUACACCUGAAAGAUAUCUGCCACCCGCCAGAUCGUCUUGA